CAGCCAUGAGGUGAGCACAGAGCGAACUAUUCUUUCGCCUUUUACUAAAGAAUACCGUGUGCUCUCCUCUCUUAAGUGGCAUAUGUAACGAUCAAAUGCUCUUUGUUUAGAUACUGGAAA
Molecule: non-coding RNA, 120 nt
Organism: Brassica napus (rape)
Lineage: Eukaryota; Viridiplantae; Streptophyta; Magnoliopsida; Brassicales; Brassicaceae
Source: Rfam